UGGAAUUCUAAAAUUGAAUCCGGGACGA
RNAcentral lists this small RNA (28 nucleotides) under Bombyx mori (domestic silkworm). RNAcentral's name for it is "ovarian small RNA-34509". Lineage: Eukaryota; Metazoa; Arthropoda; Insecta; Lepidoptera; Bombycidae. The record is from RNAcentral.